Molecule: ribosomal RNA, 252 nt
Filed under: uncultured bacterium
Lineage: Bacteria
Description: partial 16S ribosomal RNA
Rfam family: Bacterial small subunit ribosomal RNA
Source: RNAcentral
UACGGAGGAUGCGAGCGUUAUCCGGAUUUAUUGGGUUUAAAGGGUGCGUAGGCGGAUCGUUAAGUCAGUGGUCAAAUUGAGGGGCUCAACCCCUUCCCGCCAUUGAAACUGGCGCUCUUGAGUGGAAGAGAAGUAUGCGGAAUGCGUGGUGUAGCGGUGAAAUGCAUAGAUAUCACGCAGAACCCCGAUUGCGAAGGCAGCAUGCCGGCUUCCGACUGACGCUGGAGCACGAAAGCGUGGGGAUCGAACAGG